CCUACGGGGGACAGCAGUGAGGAAUAUUGGUCAAUGGACGCGAGUCUGAACCAGCCAAGUAGCGUGAAGGAUGACUGCCCUAUGGGUUGUAACCUUCUUUUAUAAAGGAAUAAAACGAGGCACGUGUGCCUUUUUGCAUGUACUUUAUGAAUAAGGAUCGGCUAACUCCGUGCCAGCAGCCGCGGUAAUACGGAGGAUCCGAGCGUUAUCCGGAUUUAUUGGGUUUAAAGGGAGCGUAGUUGGGUUGUUAAGUCAGUUGUGAAAGUUUGCGGCUCAACCGUAAAAUUGCAAUUGAUACUGGCAGUCUUGAGUACAGUUGAGGUAGGCGGAAUUCGGGGUGUAGCGGUGAAAUGCUUAGAUAUCACGAAGAACCCCGAUUGCGAAGGCAGCUUACUAAACUGUGACUGACAUUGAUGCUCGAAAGUGUGGGUAUCAAACAGGAUUAGAUACCCGAGUAGUC
RNAcentral lists this ribosomal RNA (460 nucleotides) under uncultured bacterium. RNAcentral describes it as "partial 16S ribosomal RNA". It matches the Rfam family "Bacterial small subunit ribosomal RNA", at positions 338 to 795 of the family's 1533-position model. The record is from RNAcentral.